CCAGCGCGUCGAGCUCUACCUUUCUAUCCGAACAAUUUCACUGGUUCAAGUUAGCUUCCGGAACUUGUGGGCUCAAGCUAUUGAGCAUAUGGGUAUGAUGCAGGUCGAGAGGCUCCUCGCUAGACGUCUGGAUCCUAGGAAGCGAAGUAGUCCUUGGGUGUAUUUUGGUUUCUGUUUGUACAUAUGUAUAUAUAUGUUUAGCUUACUCUCCAAGUAACUUAUGUACGCUGCUCUUCUUAGAGGUUGAGGGAGAGAUAGGAGUUUACUUUGGUAUU
Molecule: non-coding RNA, 275 nt
Organism: Arachis ipaensis
Lineage: Eukaryota; Viridiplantae; Streptophyta; Magnoliopsida; Fabales; Fabaceae
Source: RefSeq, a predicted model, not a curated record